UGCCCAGCAACUCCUAUCCCUACCUCCACGCGGUACCGGGCGGAAACUAUGAGCAACCUUAGGGAAGA
Aedes albopictus (Asian tiger mosquito) is the source of this 68-nucleotide non-coding RNA. NCBI's taxonomy places the organism in Eukaryota, Metazoa, Arthropoda, Insecta, Diptera, Culicidae. The record is from Rfam.